UGACAUACCUGGCAGAAGAGACAUCAUAAUCACACAGGUGAUUUUCCCAGGGUGAGAUUUAUCCAUUGCACUCUGGGAUGUGCUAACCAUUGCAAUUUCCCCAAAUGUGCAAAACUCAACUGCAUAAUUUGUGGUAGUGGGAGAAAAAAAUA
Molecule: non-coding RNA, 152 nt
Organism: Erinaceus europaeus (western European hedgehog)
Lineage: Eukaryota; Metazoa; Chordata; Mammalia; Eulipotyphla; Erinaceidae
Source: Rfam